UCCGUAGGGUGCUAUCGUUAUUCGGAAUUACUGGGCGUACAGGGUGCGUAGACGGCUUAUUAAGUCGGUUGUUAAAUAUCCCGGCCUAACCGGGAAAAGGCGGUCGAUACUGAUAGGCUAGAGGGUGGAAGAGAGAAGUGGAAUUCUCGGAGUAGCGGUAAAAUGCGUAGAUAUCGAGAGGAACACCGAUGGCGAAGGCAGCUUCUUGGUCCAUUCCUGACGUUGAGGCACGAAAGCGUGGGGAGAAAACAGG
This 253-nucleotide ribosomal RNA is filed under the name uncultured bacterium. Its description in RNAcentral is "partial 16S ribosomal RNA". It matches the Rfam family "Bacterial small subunit ribosomal RNA", at positions 524 to 776 of the family's 1533-position model. The record is from RNAcentral.